GAUGAACGCUGGCGGCGUGCCUAAUACAUGCAAGUCGAGCGAACGGACGAGAAGCUUGCUUCUCUGAUGUUAGCGGCGGACGGGUGAGUAACACGUGGAUAACCUACAUAUAAGACUGGGAUAACUUCGGGAAACCGGAGCUAAUACAGGAUAAUAUUUUGAACCGCAUGGUUCAAAAGUGAAAACCGGUCUUGCUGUCACUAAUACAUGGAACCGCGCUGCAUUAGCUAGUUGGUAAGGUAACGGCUUACCAUGGCAACGAUGCAUAGACGACCUGAGAGGAGGACCAGUCACAUAGGAGACGAGACACGGUCCAGACUCCUACGGGAGGCAGUAGUCGGGAAUAUUGGAACAUGGGCGAAAGACUGAUCCAGCAAAGGUGCGAGAGUAGAGAAGGUUUUAGGAUUUUAAAGCAUUUUAAGUUGAGAGGAAGGGAAGUAAGUUAAUACCUUGCUGUUUUGACGUUACCAACAGAAUAAGCACCGGCUAACUUCGUG
Molecule: ribosomal RNA, 497 nt
Filed under: uncultured bacterium
Lineage: Bacteria
Description: partial 16S ribosomal RNA
Rfam family: Bacterial small subunit ribosomal RNA
Source: RNAcentral